ACCAGUGCCUCAAAAUCCAAACUAUUCAAAAUAAAAUACUGACAAUUCGAUAUUUACUUGCUUUACAAUCAACAAACCUCAAAAUAUAGUAAAUAUACCAUAUAGUGAUCUCAUGACAACUUUUUCUAAUAUAAACUACAUGUAACCUAAGAAACAGGCACUACCUAAUCUAAUAAAGUAGACCAUACAACUAAUGACGUAUGACUCAAUUCAGUGGAUCGACAGGCUUCAAUACUGCACAACUGGAUUGCUAUCU
This 256-nucleotide long non-coding RNA is filed under the name Olea europaea (common olive). Its description in RNAcentral is "long non-coding RNA (OEUR_LNC005602)". Lineage: Eukaryota; Viridiplantae; Streptophyta; Magnoliopsida; Lamiales; Oleaceae. The record is from RNAcentral.